GAACGAUAUAAAAGAUCAUGGA
This 22-nucleotide microRNA is filed under the name Raphanus sativus (radish). Its description in RNAcentral is "rsa-miRn19". Lineage: Eukaryota; Viridiplantae; Streptophyta; Magnoliopsida; Brassicales; Brassicaceae. The record is from RNAcentral.